GGUGGCGACCGGCGCACGGGUGAGUAACGCGUAUGCAACCUACCUAUCAGAGGGGAAUAWCCCGGCGAAAGUCGGACUAAUACCGCAUAAAACAGGGGCACCGCAUGGUGAUAUUUGUUAAAGAAAUUCGCUGAUAGAUGGGCAUGCGUUCCAUUAGGUAGUUGGUGAGGUAACGGCUCACCAAGCCGACGAUGGAUAGGGGAACUGAGAGGUUGGUCCCCCACACUGGUACUGAGACACGGACCAGACUCCUACGGGAGGCAGCAGUGAGGAAUAUUGGUCAAUGGGCGGGAGCCUGAACCAGCCAAGUCGCGUGAAGGAAGAAGGAUCUAUGGUUCGUAAACUUCUUUUGCAGGGGRAUAAAGUGCAGGACGUGUCCUGUUUUGUAUGUACCCUGAGAAUAAGGAUCGGCUAACUCCGUGCCAGCAGCCGCGGUAAUACGGAGGAUCCGAGCGUUAUCCGGAUUUAUUGGGUUUAAAGGGUGCGUAGGUGGUUUGAUAAGUCAGCGGUGAAAGUUUGCAGCYUAACUGUAAAAAUGCCGUUGAAACUGUCGGACUUGAGUGUAAAUGAGGUAGGCGGAAUGCGUGGUGUAGCGGUGAAAUGCWUAGAUAUCACGAAGAACUCCGAUU
Molecule: ribosomal RNA, 629 nt
Filed under: uncultured Bacteroidales bacterium
Lineage: Bacteria; Pseudomonadati; Bacteroidota; Bacteroidia; Bacteroidales
Description: bacterial SSU rRNA
Rfam family: Bacterial small subunit ribosomal RNA
Source: RNAcentral